CCUACGGGAGGCAGCAGUCGAGAAUUAUUCACAAUGGGGGAAACCCUGAUGGUGCGACGCCGCGUGGGGGAAUGAAGGUCUUCGGAUUGUAAACCCCUGUCAUGUGGGAGCAAAUUAAAAAGAUAGUACCACAAGAGGAAGAGACGGCUAACUCUGUGCCAGCAGCCGCGGUAAUACUGAGGUCUCAAGCGUUGUUCGGAAUCACUGGGUGUAAAGCGUGCGUAGGCUGUUUCGUAAGUCGUGUGUGAAUUGCGCGGGCGCAACCCGCGGACGGCACAUGAUACUGCGAGACUAGAGUAAUGGAAGGGGAACCGGAAUUCUCGGUGUAGCAGUGAAAUGCGUAGAUAUCGAGAGGAACACUCGUGGCGAAGGCGGGUUCCUGGACAUUAACUGACGCUGAGGCACGAAGGCCAGGGGAGCGAAAGGGAUUAGAUACCCUAGUAGUC
RNAcentral lists this ribosomal RNA (446 nucleotides) under uncultured bacterium. RNAcentral's name for it is "partial 16S ribosomal RNA". It matches the Rfam family "Bacterial small subunit ribosomal RNA", at positions 338 to 795 of the family's 1533-position model. The record is from RNAcentral.